RNAcentral lists this long non-coding RNA (1026 nucleotides) under Homo sapiens (human). RNAcentral describes it as "HSALNT0380238". The record is from RNAcentral. Lineage: Eukaryota; Metazoa; Chordata; Mammalia; Primates; Hominidae.
GGAGUGGCUGAAGAGGGCCGAGAGUGUUCCGGGACUGGGGAAUCAUCUGUCUGCUGCUCCCUGCACACAAGGGUUUCCAUGACGCCCUGACCUAGUGGCCUACAUUCCGAUAGGUUUUGAAGUUUCAAAAGACAAUAGUAACCACACAGCAUGGAGAAAAGUGCUGGGAAAGGCACCAGAGAGUGCAGAGUCCAGCUCAGGAUACACCGGAAUCUACCAUAUGUAAAUUUUGCUGCUGCUGUCUCUUUGGAUUUGGGCCAUUUUUAAGAGGUGUAACACUCACUGUGAAGUUCUGUAGCUCCAUUCUUCAAGUUAGCGAGACCACGAACCUGCCGGAAGGAACCAACUCCGGACAUAGCAGAUCAAGAAGGCAGUCAGAAGUGGGCAAAAAAACUUUUUAUGGUUCACUGAGGACAAUCAACUCCUUCACAAUCUAGAACCCGAAGAUUGGAUCCUCUGAGACAUCAGAGAAAGAUUGCUUUAGCCAUCCUCACUGCAGUAAAACUUCAGGACCUCGAGCCUUGGGUUCAUAAUCUCACAACUGAGAAGGGUCCCUCCACACUGUUGAACUGUACACCCAUUGGAACCCUUAAGGUAAAGCUAACCAGGGAAGUUUCUCCCUAAGAAGAAGAUGGCAUCCUUGAUGCAAAAAGCUUUUCCCAACAUCACAGAUCAAGACUUCUAUUAUCAUGAGACUCUUAUCUUUGAAUACUUUUCCCCUUGCUUAUGCCUGUAUGAACAAUACAAGUGGAAAAGGGGUCUGUUGUGUGCACUCAUGGGGUAUACUUUUAGUUAUGAAGGAUUUUGCAGCCAGCCUUAUACAUGGAUAACCUUAUAUCUUGACAGAUGAAAGAUGAAGGCCCGAUGUAGGUGAGAAACAGAAACUUUAAUGGUACACACUUUGCCUCGUAAUCAGUCAGAAACAGAGCAUUGGUUCACUCCUCUUAACCCACAUCAUGGGUUAAAGAGAACAUUACCAGGAGAGCUUCACUCUUCUAGAAGGGCAUCAUUUGUUAGGUCCUUUUU